UUUCCGUAGGUGAACCUGCGGAAGGAUCAUUAUUGGAUUUUGAAACUUCAGGCUGCUGCUGGCUCUCCUCGGAGGGCAUGUGCACGCUUGUUGUCCAUUAUUUCUCCCACUGUGCACAAAUUGUAGACCUUUCAGUAGGCCUAUGUUGUUUUUCACAAUCUCUGAAUGUAAUAGAAUGGUUUUGAAUCUUGGGAAAUAAAAUACAACUUUCAGCAACGGAUCUCUUGGCUCUC
This 233-nucleotide unclassified non-coding RNA is filed under the name plant metagenome. RNAcentral's name for it is "partial contains small subunit ribosomal RNA, internal transcribed spacer 1, and 5.8S ribosomal RNA". The record is from RNAcentral.